UACGUAGGGGGCGAGCGUUGUCCGGAUUUACUGGGUGUAAAGGGUGCUCAGGCGGGUCUGUAAGUCAGGGGUGAAAUCCCAGAGCUUAACUCUGGAGCUGCCUUUGAUACUGCAGAUCUCGAGUUUGGGAGAGGCGAGUGGAAUAUCUGGUGUAGCAGUGAAAUGCGUAGAUAUCAGAUAGAACACCAAUGGCGAAGGCAGCUCGCUGGCCCAAUACUGACGCUAAAGCACGAAAGCGUGGGGAGCAAACAGG
This 253-nucleotide ribosomal RNA is filed under the name uncultured bacterium. RNAcentral's name for it is "partial 16S ribosomal RNA". It matches the Rfam family "Bacterial small subunit ribosomal RNA", at positions 524 to 776 of the family's 1533-position model. The record is from RNAcentral.